Molecule: long non-coding RNA, 2745 nt
Organism: Salvelinus fontinalis (brook trout)
Lineage: Eukaryota; Metazoa; Chordata; Actinopteri; Salmoniformes; Salmonidae
Exons: 3
Source: RefSeq, a predicted model, not a curated record
UCAGUUGCAGGAAGCAGAAGGUACAGAACAAUGUUUUAUUCCGGCACAGAGAAAAAUGUUCACGCCAAUUCCGGGCGCACAUAAAAGACCGGCCCAAAACCAGGACCCAACCAGUCCGGAGGAAAACCAAAGGGAAACGCACUACCACAAACAUACACAGAGGAAAAAUAAGACCGCGCAAAGAGCAGGCGGGCCUUACUGGCUUAAAUAGCUAGUAGACCGGUGACGACGACCGCCGAGCGCCACCCGAACAGGAAGAGGAGCCACCUUCGGUGGGAGUCGUACAGAAUGCUUCAAUCUAGUUGACAUAGCGGCAGAGAAGAAUGCCCAGACUCUGUCAGGACACACCUGCAGCCCAGGCUGCUCUCUUAGCACCUCUCCUGCCAUUCCUGACCCCCAACGAUGCUGCAUCCCUCCCUCAAUCUGAGAAAGAAGUUGGCUAGAUGUUAUGAGAACCCAAAACAAGAGACUACCCUCUACUAAACACUGGAAUCAAAGGCAAGCAGGAGGGGAAACAGGCUUUGAACAUAACAUGUGUCAGUCCCCCAAAAGCAGCCCUUUUAAGAUCACUGUAUGGAAGGUAAAUAUUUUUGUCUGGCAUAUGUAGUGGCUGCAGGAAGCAUGCCAUCCAUUUCUUUCUAGUCUUUUUUUAAAUUGGAAAACAUUAUUUUUUCAUCUUUACUAGUAGUUUUAGUCUACUCUUUGUUAGAGGUGAGAUGGGCCUAACUCUUUCAGAGCAUUUCUUUAUUGAUUUAUGUUGUUUUGAAUUUCAUUAAUAUGUAUCUUUACAUUCAGAAAAAACAUUUGCAAAUACACAUAAACAUGCUUAGUUUUUAGCUAACUCUGGGCAAAGGAACAGUAGGGUAACAAUAUGAAUAAUCUCCACAGACCGUUCUCUCCUAAACCAGCAGGUGGCACUGUAUACUCACCAAUGAACAGUUAAAGGUAGCAAUGGAAAACCUGUAGCAUGUUACUCCACUACAGAAUGUAGAACUAUUAUAUAUAUUAUCUAAUCUAGUGGUUCUUAAGCACAUGAUUUUCCCAAAAGUUAAAACACUUAUUUACAGAUUGGAUGUGAAUUCUGAUUUGUAAUUGCAUGUUAUUUUAUAUUUGGUAAGCUUUUUAAAUAGACUCGUACCCGUGUACGGGUUGAAAAUGGCAGAUUUGGGUACUGAUAAACGCCUAAAUUGGAAUGCAGUAACAUGCUAUGAAUGACAUCAGAACUCAUUCUCUGCACUUCACAGUGCUGUAUGGGUUUUGAGUGAGAGACUUUCUGAACUUGAGCACCGCAUGCGACAAGAAGUUGCCCCCAGCCUUCCUGCUAAUUGGGUAACUUAUCACAUGUUUGGUUGUCUGAGUGAGGGAAAUGCUGUAAAUUUAAGGACUUGAUAUAUUUUGAAAGAUGAGACUUUGAGGAUUAUAAUAAGCACCGCUUUGAUGUCAUACAAGCAAAUCAAACACCUGAGUCCAAAUGUGCACUUCAGAUUUCCAUAUCAUAAAACUCAUGUCAUCUACAGUGUCAACGUUUAUGAUCACUAUGUUUGAUGACAUGGCGUCAUAUCCUGGGUUGUUCUGAACAGAAUGAGCCUAUGAUUGUAUAUUGUGAAGAAAAUUUGCCAUGGAACACGCACCUGAAUGCACACAUUACUUUUCUAUGCGGACCAAAAUUAUGAUCUGUUUCUCUGAAUUGCCCUGUGAAAGCCUACCACUAAGAUCUUAUUUUAUAACUUAGCUAGUCAUGUUGGCAAUUGAGCAAGCUUUCAAAUUAUGCCCACCUGACCCAGAUUGUGAUUUAUAAUGGCCGUAUUCGGAUUGUGUAAACAACAACAACAGUAAUUGUGUGAUGACGGUGACACAGGGUUGUGUUCCUAACAAAACAACUACAAAUGUGCUUGCUCUAGUUCAAGAAAGCACCUUAUAGUUGAAGACUUAUGUCAUCAAAGUGCAAUAAAAUGACCUAGGAACUGUGCGUACUUUGGAGCAGUGUGUUGCCACUUGGAGAAACCAGUUAGUCCUCUCACUCAAAACCUUGUCAUUGCUUUGUCUUAUGCUGCAUCCACCACACAUUUUCCAUAGAUAUUCUUAUCAUGUUACUGGUAAGAAUCAACAAGUGCAGCAAAAAGAAAAAAGGCACAUCAAAUCAGCAGUGUAAUGUUUGGAUUCAGUCGUGUGUCAGGUGAACUGUUGUGUCCUCAACUUUGGUCUAAUAAUUUUCCUAAAAUCUCCAAACUUUCCCCCUUUUCAAUUGCUACCAUGUUUAUGCAUAUGCUUUUCAUUUUUCUUCUGUAAGAAACAUGUAACUGUAGCCCUAUCCAUAUAGGCCAAUCCCCAUGAGUUUAAAGGGUUACAUUUGUUCUGCAGACAAAUCUAACAAUCUUGUGAAUCAUGGUACCCUACACAAUAGACAGGCCUUGACCAGAUCAGUCUUCCACCAUCCCCAGCUUUACACUGUUAUACACUCUGUAUGGCAACACUGUGGCUUGGCGUACUGUUGAAACCACCGAAUAUGAUCGUUUUUCAAUAAUGUAUUAUGUUCUAUACUCAAAAUACCCCACAUUGCAGAUAUUCAGGACAUCAAGAACAACUUAAUAAACUUGGUUGUAGGACUUUGGUAUAUUGUCAUGUAAUGUUCCAUCUAUUUUAUUGCCCCCAGAAAUUGAAAUAAAACAACGUUUUUUUGAGAAAUAUAAUUGUGCAGUAUUUUACAAAUGCCAUUUUAUUCCAGGUGAAACAAAGGAAAAUAGU